UGGGGGAUAUUGCACAAUGGGCGAAAGCCUGAUGCAGCGACGCCGCGUGGGGGAUGAAGGCCUUCGGGUUGUAAACUUCUUUUGCUCUGAACAAGGCGCACCAUGGGGUGUGUUGAGUGUAGGGGUUGAUUAGCGCCGGCUAACUACGUGCCAGCAGCCGCGGUAAUACGUAGGGCGCGAGCGUUGUCCGGAAUUAUUGGGCGUAACGGGCUUGUAGGUGGCUGGUUGCGUCUGUCGUGAAAGCUCAUGGCUUAACUGUGGGUUUGCGGUGGGUACGGGCUGGCUUGAGUGCAGUAGGGGAGGCUGGAAUUCCUGGUGUAGCGGUGGAAUGCGCAGAUAUCAGGAGGAAUACCGGUGGCGAAGGCGGGUCUCUGGGCUGUUACUGACACUGAGGAGCGAAAGCAUGGGGAGCGAACAGG
This 419-nucleotide ribosomal RNA is filed under the name bacterium. RNAcentral's name for it is "partial 16S ribosomal RNA". It matches the Rfam family "Bacterial small subunit ribosomal RNA", at positions 355 to 776 of the family's 1533-position model. The record is from RNAcentral.